This 492-nucleotide ribosomal RNA is filed under the name uncultured bacterium. RNAcentral's name for it is "partial 16S ribosomal RNA". It matches the Rfam family "Bacterial small subunit ribosomal RNA", at positions 29 to 507 of the family's 1533-position model. The record is from RNAcentral.
AGUGAACGCUGGCGGUAGGCCUAACACAUGCAAGUCGAACGGCAGCACCGUAAGAGCUUGCUCUUACGGGUGGCGAGUGGCGGACGGGUGAGGAAUACAUCGGAAUCUACUUUUUCGUGGGGGAUAACGUAGGGAAACUUACGCUAAUACCGCAUACGACCUACGGGUGAAAGCAGGGGAUCUUCGGACCUUGCGCGAUUGAAUGAGCAGCUGUCGGAUUAGCUAGUUGGCGUGGUAAAGGCCCACCAAGGCGACGAUCCGUAGCUGGUCUGAGAGGAUGAUCAGCCACACUGGAACUGCGACACGGUCCAGACUCCUACGGGAGGCAGCAGUGGGGAAUCUUGGACCAUGGGCGCAAGCCUGCUCCAGCCAUCCCGCGUGGGUGAAGAAGGCCUUCGGGUUGCAAAGCCCUUUUGUUGGGAAAGAAAAGCAGCAGGUUAAUACCCCGCUGUUCUGACGGUACCCAAAGAAUAAGCACCGGCUAACUUCGUG